Molecule: microRNA, 24 nt
Filed under: Canis lupus familiaris (dog)
Lineage: Eukaryota; Metazoa; Chordata; Mammalia; Carnivora; Canidae
Description: cfa-miR-8874
Source: miRBase by way of RNAcentral
CACUUCUCUGAGCCUCCCUUUCCA